GGCGCCGCUCUCUCAGCCAUGGCCGCCGCAGCAGCAGGCUCCUGCUCCGAGCAUCCAGAGGGAUUCAGGAAGCCGCCGGGAAGAAGGAAGUGGAUCCAAGGGACCUAGCACCGUAAUUAGCCCAGUUUUGGUUAAUUAAGGCUACCAAGGCCUCAGCCCCUCGUCUCCCAGGGCUGAAAUUCCACGGGAAUGCCGUGACAGACACGGAGCUCCAUCCUGGCAGGAGUUACUUGUCCACCGCUGCCCAGGUUCCCUGUGAGGUGCUCCAGAUGGAUUGAGGAAGCGGGUGGAAGGCUGUUGUCGCCGUAAUUGACGCUGUAAUUAGCGCCGCUCUGGUUAACGAGCAGCAGGAGGUGCAUGCUGGGUGUCACCUGCCCUUCCUGGCCGUGCCCUUGUCCCUCAGGGCCGGAGCAGCGGGCAGGCUCCCUGUGGAAGCGCCAGGAGGAGUGGGCGACACCAGAGUCGGAAUUAAACAUGAGCCCGUACUUCUAA
Pyrgilauda ruficollis (rufous-necked snowfinch) is the source of this 492-nucleotide long non-coding RNA. RefSeq lists it as uncharacterized. The record is from RefSeq and is a predicted model, not a curated record. The transcript has 3 exons. Lineage: Eukaryota; Metazoa; Chordata; Aves; Passeriformes; Passeridae.